GGUCGACUAAGGGCAAAAUUGUCAUUUGGCUUAAAGGAAAAAGUGCCUUCCAUCUAUUCAUUUUACAUGAUAUGGGUCUAGAAACAUUUUCUCUUCCGACUUCCUUCUCUUCUAUUCCAGUCGAUCGGAGGCGGGGGCGGAUCCACGUGGAGUCAAGUGGGUUCAUAUGAACCCGCUUCAUUAAAAAAUAACACUGUAUAUAUAGGGAAGGUCUGUUAAAGGGCAGAAGAGAUUGUAUGGAGUUGCAAGACAGUAAUGGUCCAGAAAAAAGGACGAGAAAGUAGCACAGAUAUCCCACAACUUUUAGAAGCAGACAAGAUGGAUAGAGAUGUCAAGGCAAGUAUAAGAGAUCUGAGUCAAGGAAGUAGCUUAAUUUAUAUAUUUUUUAUUCCCUGUUUGUUUGGUAUUUGCUAAUACUAUAUGUAUUAAUGGAAGUUUUGCAUCCAUUGAAUCCAAGUUUCACUUGGAUUGAAGCUUGGGAUGAGCUCAAUCUGCUACUAAAGACGCUGCCAAGAUUCCCAAUGGUGCUUCCAAAUAAAAUAUUUCAUAGUUAUUUGUGACUUUUAGUUUAUUUGCAGUAUUUAUAGCAUUGCGUUUAUGUAAUUUUGUCAUCUGCUUUCCGUUACUUCUUUUACUUGGAAUUGUAGGUGUAGUCAAAAUUUGGAAUCAGUGGAUGCAAAACUCCCAUUAAAUUCUUGUAUACUGUAAUAAGCCAUUUGGUAUUAUAGUUGUUUGUCUUCUUGGGAA
Nicotiana tabacum (common tobacco) is the source of this 747-nucleotide long non-coding RNA. RefSeq lists it as uncharacterized. The record is from RefSeq and is a predicted model, not a curated record. NCBI's taxonomy places the organism in Eukaryota, Viridiplantae, Streptophyta, Magnoliopsida, Solanales, Solanaceae.